GGUUUAAUUACCCAAGUUUGAGGUAAACAUUGAAACUGACCCAAAGAAAUUUGGCGUUGGAUAUAAAUUAUGGAUCGUAUCACUCAGGGGAGACAAA
RNAcentral lists this small nuclear RNA (97 nucleotides) under Caenorhabditis japonica. RNAcentral's name for it is "snRNA CJA48950". Lineage: Eukaryota; Metazoa; Nematoda; Chromadorea; Rhabditida; Rhabditidae. The record is from RNAcentral.